This 466-nucleotide ribosomal RNA is filed under the name uncultured bacterium. RNAcentral's name for it is "bacterial SSU rRNA". It matches the Rfam family "Bacterial small subunit ribosomal RNA", at positions 338 to 795 of the family's 1533-position model. The record is from RNAcentral.
CCUANGGGUGGCUGCAGUCGAGAAUCUUUCGCAAUGGGGGAAACCCUGACGAAGCGACACCGCGUGUAGGACGAAGGCUUUCGGGUUGUAAACUACUGUCGGCCAUGACGAGAUGUAUGUUGACUAAUAUUCAACAUACUUGACGGUAGUGGCAAAGGAAGCAACGGCUAACUCUGUGCCAGCAGCCGCGGUAAUACAGAGGUUGCAAGCGUUGUUCGGAUUCAUUGGGUGUAAAGGGUGUGUAGGUGGUUUUGUAAGUCAGAUGUGAAAUCUCCGAGCUCAACUCGGAAAUGGCAUUGGAAACUGCUCUGCUUGAGGGUUGGAGGGGGGACUGGAAUACUUGGUGUAGCAGUGAAAUGCGUAGAUAUCAAGUGGAACACCAGUGGCGAAGGCGAGUCCCUGGACAACUCCUGACACUGAGGCACGAAAGCUAGGGGAGCAAACAGGAUUAGAUACCCGGNUANUC